Molecule: ribosomal RNA, 223 nt
Filed under: uncultured bacterium
Lineage: Bacteria
Description: partial 16S ribosomal RNA
Rfam family: Bacterial small subunit ribosomal RNA
Source: RNAcentral
CGGACGUGGGUAACCGUGCCUCAUACAGGGGAGUAGCAGCUGGAAACGGCUGAUAAAACCGCAUAAGCGCACAGCAUCGCAUGAUGCAGUGUGAAAAACUCCGGUGGUAUGAGAUGGACCCGCGUCUGAUUAGCUGGUUGGUGAGGUAACGGCCUACCAAGCCGACGAUCAGUAGCCGACCUGAGAGGGUGACCGGCCACAUUGGGACUGAGACACGGCCCAA